AGCUUGCUCCCAUUUCUCAGCGGCGGACGGGUGAGUAACACGUGGGCAACCUGCCCUGCAGACUGGGAUAACUCCGGGAAACCGGAGCUAAUACCGGGUAAUACAUAGCAUCGCAUGAUGCAACGUUGAAAGUUGGCCUUUGGCUAACACUGUAGGAUGGGCCCGCGGCGCAUUAGCUAGUUGGUAAGGUAACGGCUUACCAAGGCCACGAUGCGUAGCCGACCUGAGAGGGUGAUCGGCCACACUGGGACUGAGACACGGCCCAGACUCCUACGGGAGGCAGCAGUAGGGAAUCUUCCGCAAUGGACGAAAGUCUGACGGAGCAACGCCGCGUGAGUGACGAAGGCCUUCGGGUCGUAAAGCUCUGUUGUUAGGGAAGAACAAGUACCGUUCGAAUAGGGCGGUACCUUGACGGUACCUAACCAGAAAGCCACGGCUAACUACGUGCCAGCAGCCGCGGUAAUACGUAGGUGGCAAGCGUUGUCCGGAAUUAUUGGGCGUAAAGCGCGCGCAGGCGGUCUCUUAAGUCUGAUGUGAAAGCCCACGGCUCAACCGUGGAGGGCCAUUGGAAACUGGGGGACUUGAGUGCAGAAGAGGAGAGUGGAAUUCCACGUGUAGCGGUGAAAUGCGUAGAUAUGUGGAGGAACACCAGUGGCGAAGGCGGCUCUCUGGUCUGUAACUGACGCUGAAGCGCGAAAGCGUGGGGAGCGAACAGGAUUAGAUACCCUGGUAGUCCACGCCGUAAACGAUGAGUGCUAAGUGUUGGGGGCUUCCACCCUCAGUGCUGA
Molecule: ribosomal RNA, 788 nt
Filed under: Bacillus sp. (in: firmicutes)
Lineage: Bacteria; Bacillati; Bacillota; Bacilli; Caryophanales; Bacillaceae
Description: bacterial SSU rRNA
Rfam family: Bacterial small subunit ribosomal RNA
Source: RNAcentral